GGGAUUGUGGCUCAGUGGUAGAGCGCUCGCCUGGUGUGGGUGGGACCUGGGUUCGAUCCUCAGCACCA
This 68-nucleotide transfer RNA is filed under the name Ictidomys tridecemlineatus (thirteen-lined ground squirrel). Its description in RNAcentral is "Spermophilus tridecemlineatus (thirteen-lined ground squirrel) tRNA". It matches the Rfam family "tRNA". From Rfam's summary of the family: Transfer RNA (tRNA) molecules are approximately 80 nucleotides in length. Their secondary structure includes four short double-helical elements and three loops (D, anti-codon, and T loops). Further hydrogen bonds mediate the characteristic L-shaped molecular structure. tRNAs have two regions of fundamental functional importance: the anti-codon, which is responsible for specific mRNA codon recognition, and the 3' end, to which the tRNAs corresponding amino acid is attached (by aminoacyl-tRNA synthetases). tRNAs cope with the degeneracy of the genetic code in two manners: having more than one tRNA (with a specific anti-codon) for a particular amino acid; and 'wobble' base-pairing, i.e. permitting non-standard base-pairing at the 3rd anti-codon position. Lineage: Eukaryota; Metazoa; Chordata; Mammalia; Rodentia; Sciuridae. The record is from Rfam by way of RNAcentral.